UGGCCGCGGGAUUCGAUUAAGCCAUGCGAGUCAUAUGUUCUUCGUGAACAUGGCGUACUGCUCAGUAACACGUGGAUAACCUGCCCUUGGGACCGGGAUAACCCCGGGAAACUGGGGAUAAUACCGGAUAACGCAUAUCUGCUGGAAUGCUUUAUGCGUAAAAUGGAUUUGUCUGCCCAAGGAUGGGUCUGCGGCCUAUCAGGUAGUAGUGGGUGUAAUGUACCUACUAGCCUACGACGGGUACGGGUUGUGAGAGCAAGAGCCCGGAGAUGGAUUCUGAGACAUGAAUCCAGGCCCUACGGGGCGCAGCAGGCGCGAAAACUUUACAAUGCGGGAAACCGUGAUAAGGGGACACCGAGUGCCAGCAUCAUAUGUUGGCUGUCCAGAUGUGUAAAAUACAUCUGUUAGCAAGGGCCGGGCAAGACCGGUGCCAGCCGCCGCGGUAACACCGGCGGCCCGAGUGGUGAUCGUGAUUAUUGGGUCUAAAGGGUCCGUAGCCGGUUUGGUCAGUCCUCCGGGAAAUCUGACGGCUCAACCGUUAGGCUUUCGGUGGAUACUGCCAGACUUGGAACCGGGAGAGGUAAGAGGUACUACAGGGGUAGGAGUGAAAUCUUGUAAUCCCUGUGAGACCACCUGUGGCGAAGGCGUCUUACCAGAACGGGUUCGACGGUGAGGGACGAAAGCUGGGGGCACGAACCGGAUUAGAUACCCGGGUAGUCCCAGCCGUAAACGAUGCUCGCUAGGUGUCAGGCAUGGCGCGACCGUGUCUGGUGCCGCAGGGAAGCCGUGAAGCGAGCCACCUGGGAAGUACGGCCGCAAGGCUGAAACUUAAAGGAAUUGGCGGGGGAGCAAAUCACUAGUGCGGCCGCCUG
RNAcentral lists this ribosomal RNA (872 nucleotides) under uncultured archaeon. Its description in RNAcentral is "bacterial SSU rRNA". It matches the Rfam family "Archaeal small subunit ribosomal RNA", at positions 28 to 900 of the family's 1478-position model. The record is from RNAcentral.